Molecule: transfer RNA, 85 nt
Filed under: Glycomyces luteolus
Lineage: Bacteria; Bacillati; Actinomycetota; Actinomycetes; Glycomycetales; Glycomycetaceae
Description: tRNA-Leu
Rfam family: tRNA
About the family: Transfer RNA (tRNA) molecules are approximately 80 nucleotides in length. Their secondary structure includes four short double-helical elements and three loops (D, anti-codon, and T loops).
Source: RNAcentral
GCGCGAGUGGCGGAACUGGCAGACGCGCAGGAUUUAGGUUCCUGUGUCCUAGGACGUGGGGGUUCAAGUCCCCCCUCGCGCACCA